UUUCCAGAGAUGGAUUGGUGCCUUCGGGAACUGUGAGACAGGUGCUGCAUGGCUGUCGUCAGCUCGUGUUGUGAAAUGUUGGGUUAAGUCCCGCAACGAGCGCAACCCUUAUCCUUUGUUGCCAGCGGUUCGGCCGGGAACUCAAAGGAGACUGCCAGUGAUAAACUGGAGGAAGGUGGGGAUGACGUCAAGUCAUCAUGGCCCUUACGACCAGGGCUACACACGUGCUACAAUGGCGCAUACAAAGAGAAGCGACCUCGCGAGAGCAAGCGGACCUCAUAAAGUGCGUCGUAGUCCGGAUUGGAGUCUGCAACUCGACUCCAUGAAGUCGGAAUCGCUAGUAAUCGUAGAUCAGAAUGCUACGGUGAAUACGUUCCCGGGCCUUGUACACACCGCCCAUGACACCAUGGGAGUGGGUUGCAAAAGAAGUAGGUAGCUUAACCUUCGGGAGGGCGCUUACCCCCUUUUAAUAAUGGGGAC
Molecule: ribosomal RNA, 480 nt
Filed under: Enterobacter sp. enrichment culture clone SRB4
Lineage: Bacteria; Pseudomonadati; Pseudomonadota; Gammaproteobacteria; Enterobacterales; Enterobacteriaceae
Description: bacterial SSU rRNA
Rfam family: Bacterial small subunit ribosomal RNA
Source: RNAcentral